GAUGAACGCUGGCGGCGUGCUUAACACAUGCAAGUCGAACGGAAAGGCUCCUGCUUGCAGGGGUACUCGAGUGGCGAACGGGUGAGUAACACGUGGGUGAUCUGCCCUGCACUUCGGGAUAAGCCUGGGAAACUGGGUCUAAUACCGGAUAGGACGAUGGUUUGGAUGCCAUUGUGGAAAGUUUUUCGGUGUGGGAUGAGCUCGCGGCCUAUCAGCUUGUUGGUGGGGUAAUGGCCUACCAAGGCGUCGACGGGUAGCCGGCCUGAGAGGUUGUACGGCCUCAUUGGGACUGAGAGUCGGCACGGAAGCGUACGGGGGGCAGCAGUGGAAGAUAUUGCACAAUGGGCGCGAGCCUGAUGCAGCAAGGCCGCGGGGGGGAUGACGGCCUUCGGGUUGUAAACCCCUUUCGCUAAGGACGAAGCGCGAGUGACGGUACCUGGAGAGAAAGCACCGGCUAACUACGUG
Molecule: ribosomal RNA, 465 nt
Filed under: uncultured bacterium
Lineage: Bacteria
Description: partial 16S ribosomal RNA
Rfam family: Bacterial small subunit ribosomal RNA
Source: RNAcentral